RNAcentral lists this ribosomal RNA (253 nucleotides) under uncultured bacterium. Its description in RNAcentral is "partial 16S ribosomal RNA". It matches the Rfam family "Bacterial small subunit ribosomal RNA", at positions 524 to 776 of the family's 1533-position model. The record is from RNAcentral.
UACGAGGGGGGCGAGCGUUGUUCGGAAUUAUUGGGCGUAAAGCGCUUGUAGGCGGCACGUCAAGUCGCGUGUGAAAUCCCCAGGCUUAACCUGGGAAGUGCGCGCGAAACUGACGAGCUUGAGUGCCGGAGAGGGUCGCGGAAUUCCCGGUGUAGAGGUGAAAUUCGUAGAUAUCGGGAGGAACACCAGUGGCGAAGGCGGCGACCUGGACGGACACUGACGCUGAGACGCGAAAGCGUGGGGAGCAAACAGG